Molecule: ribosomal RNA, 433 nt
Filed under: uncultured bacterium
Lineage: Bacteria
Description: partial 16S ribosomal RNA
Rfam family: Bacterial small subunit ribosomal RNA
Source: RNAcentral
AACGAACGCUGGCGGCAUGCCUAACACAUGCAAGUCGAACGAGACCUUCGGGUCUAGUGGCGCACGGGUGCGUAACGCGUGGGAACCUGCCCUUAGGUUCGGAAUAACUCCCCGAAAGGGGUGCUAAUACCGGAUAAUGUCUUCGGACCAAAGAUUUAUCGCCUUUGGAUGGGCCCGCGUUGGAUUAGCUAGUUGGUAGGGUAAAAGCCUACCAAGGCGACGAUCCAGAGCUGGGCGGAGAGGAUGAUACACCACAAUGGGACUGAGACCCGGCCCAGACUCCGACGGAAGGGAGGAGGAGAGUAUAUAAGACACUGGAGGCAAGCCUGAUCCAGCAACGCCGCGGAAGACGUGAAGGCAUUUGGAUUCUAAAGCUGUCUUACCCGGGAUGAUAAUGACAGUACCGGGUGAAUAAGCUCCGGCUAACUCCGUG